CGCACCUUGCGCCUCUUGGUAUUCCGAGAGGCAUGCCUGUUUGAGUGUCAUUAAAUUCUCAACCUCAAAAACUUUUGUUGAUGAGGCUUGGAUAUGGAGGCUUUGCCGGCUCGUCCAGAGUCAGCUCCUCUGAAAUGCAUUAGUGGAAACUGUUUGUAAUCCGCAUUGGUGUGAUAAUUAUCAGCGCUAUUGUGGCUACAAGCUUGUGUAGUGUUCGUUUGGAAAGUGCAUGAAAGUGCUCUCUCUGCUUCAUUGACCUACUCAAGUAUAGUAUUCGCUUCAAACCGUCCUAAGUUACUGGACAAUACUUGACUAUUUUGACCUCAAAUCAGGUAGGAUUACCCGCUGAACUUAA
Molecule: unclassified non-coding RNA, 355 nt
Filed under: Marasmius conchiformis
Lineage: Eukaryota; Fungi; Basidiomycota; Agaricomycetes; Agaricales; Marasmiaceae
Description: partial contains 5.8S ribosomal RNA, internal transcribed spacer 2, and large subunit ribosomal RNA
Source: RNAcentral